UGGAGUAUGGGAACGGGGGAGUAACACUGAGUACCUGCGCUUGUGUCUGGGGUAACCUGGGAAACUGGGUCUAAUACCGGAAUGACCUUCCCUCCAGGGGGGUGGGGGAAACUUUUGUGGGUUUGGAUGGGCUCCGCCUAUCCCUUGUGGGUGAGGUAAUGGGUUAUAGCGACAACAGGGACCGCCUGAGAGGGUGAGAGGCCACUGGGACUGAGACACGSCCCCACACCCACGGAGGCGCUGGGGAAUAUUGCGCAUGGGCGCCCUGAGGCCCGACCCCCGUGAGGGAUGACAGCCUUCUGGUUGUAAACCUCUUUCUUAGGAAAAAACGAAAGUGAGAGUACCUGCGAAAAAACGCCGCUAACUACUGCCCCCACCCCGGUAAUACAUAGGGGCAGCGUUAUCCCGAAUUAUUGUGCGUAAAAGAUCUCAGCGGUUUGUCCGUCUGCCCGAAAUCCGGGCUCACUCUCGAUCU
This 475-nucleotide ribosomal RNA is filed under the name Arthrobacter sp. RNAcentral describes it as "partial 16S ribosomal RNA". It matches the Rfam family "Bacterial small subunit ribosomal RNA", at positions 90 to 621 of the family's 1533-position model. The record is from RNAcentral. Lineage: Bacteria; Bacillati; Actinomycetota; Actinomycetes; Micrococcales; Micrococcaceae.